UUUAAGGCCUGGUUCUCAUACGAUCACUGAAGUUAAACAACGUCGAGGCUGGUCAGUACCUACAUGGGUGACUGCUUGGGAAUACCAUGUGCUGUAAG
This is a non-coding RNA of Acanthosepion pharaonis, 98 nucleotides long. The record is from the annotation of a GenBank genome assembly. NCBI's taxonomy places the organism in Eukaryota, Metazoa, Mollusca, Cephalopoda, Sepiida, Sepiidae.